GACGAACGCUGGCGGCGUGCUUAACACAUGCAAGUCGAGCGGUAAGGCCCUUUCGGGGGUACAACGAGCGGCGAACGGGUGAGUAACACGUGGGUGACCUGCCUCAGCUCGUGGGAUAAGCCUGGGAAAACUGGGUCUAAUACCUGGAUAUGACUCCACGGUGCAUGUCGUGGGGUGGAAAGCCUUGUGCGGCUGAGGAUGGGCCCGCGGCCUAUCAGCUUGUUGGUGGGGUGANGGCCUACCAAGGCGACGACGGGUAGCCGGCCUGAGA
Molecule: ribosomal RNA, 271 nt
Filed under: uncultured bacterium
Lineage: Bacteria
Description: partial 16S ribosomal RNA
Rfam family: Bacterial small subunit ribosomal RNA
Source: RNAcentral